Mangifera indica (mango) is the source of this 1076-nucleotide RNA transcript. It is a transcript of the gene named phosphatidyl-N-methylethanolamine N-methyltransferase, with no coding region annotated. The record is from RefSeq and is a predicted model, not a curated record. The transcript is spliced from 3 exons. Lineage: Eukaryota; Viridiplantae; Streptophyta; Magnoliopsida; Sapindales; Anacardiaceae.
UCCCAACUUGUCGAGAAAUGAGGGGAAGUGUGAAAUUUUCUCGAGGUAAUCAGUGAGAAAAAGAAAACACGGGCUGAGAAAAAAUGGAGAUAGUGGCAGCCAUAGGAGUGUUAUCGCCAUUCCCAUUCUACUACUGGCUGUGGACAUCUCCACAAUCAUGGGUAAACUUAGGUGGGAAAGGGCAAGAUCCUUCAAAAUUAAUGGCUUAUGUCUCUCAUUUCUUGAAGCUCUUGCAAUUCAUUUCUCUAUAUUCAGUUUCCUCUCUUUCAUGGCCUCCUCCUCUCUACUUUUAUCCCCUUUUUCUGUUUGGCCAGCUCCUCAACUUCAGGGUAUAUCAGUUACUUGGUGAAUCAGGCACUUACUAUGGUGUACGCUUUGGGAAGAACAUUCCAUGGGUGACAGAGUUCCCUUUUGGCUACAUAAAAGAUCCUCAAUAUGUAGGGAGCAUUUUAAGUCUUCUGGCAUGCCUGUCCUGGGUCCCCAUUCAGUACAUUCUUCUGUGGAUUCUAGGCUAUGUGUUCAUGAUAUAUCUGGAAUCAAAGGAAGACCCAGCUACUCGUGCAAAGGCACUCUCAUAAUUCAAGAGUUGCAGUAGACUGACUGGUGAUUUGGAAGAAUUAAUUGCGCAAAAGAUUGACCCAAAGUUCUCUCCCCAUGCUGUUGCUUCAAUUGAAAGUAAGGAGAGAGGGAACAAAAUGAGAUGAAAUGAAAAACAGUUCUCUUUGUUCAGGCUGGAGCUAGAAGUUCAGUUAAGAUUUGCAUUGCAUAUAUGGCAUUGUGGAAUUCAAUAUCUGCUAACAUUCCUGUCUUCGAUGAAACAAUUGUGCACUUCUUAUGUUCUGCAUUGAGAAUAAAUAGUCUUCCCUUCUGCUUAGAGCUGAAGGAUGCAAUGCUGCAAAAGAAUGACGAGAAAGAGAAAGAAAAGUAAGAGCAAAAACUCUCUUUUAAAGUCCAUCGACAUGCAAAUCAGACUUCAUUGAUUCUUAGCAUGGAAAAAGUUACUUGCAACAAUAUGUAUAAUUCCAUAAAAGAACAUUGUGAUAAAUUUAUGAAUCGUGGGGGGAGUUUUCUGACAA